Long non-coding RNA from Odocoileus virginianus texanus, 664 nucleotides. RefSeq lists it as uncharacterized. The record is from RefSeq and is a predicted model, not a curated record. NCBI's taxonomy places the organism in Eukaryota, Metazoa, Chordata, Mammalia, Artiodactyla, Cervidae.
GCCGGAUAGAAAAGCGUUUUCACAGCGGGACGCUUCUCCGCCUUGAAAGAACCCCUAGUGACGCUUGCAGAGGCGCAGUGGACCUCGCAGGUGUUACGCUGAGUGUAGGAAGUGUGUGCAGAGGCGCACACACUGUGUGACUUCCUCUAUUUGAAACUCUAGGUGGGACAAAACUGACCUAUGAUGCGAAACAGGAUGACCUAGGAUGACAGUGCAGAGACCUGUGGUCAUCUGGGGCUGAGGCUGGCUGGGAAAGGAGCAGGAGGGAACUCAGCCUUUGAGGGAAAUCCAGAGGCAGGGGGGUGGAUCCAGCAGACACGCAUUCAGCUGCAAGUAACACCAAUCUCACCACUGGUAUCAUCAUCCACGGCUGUGAUGAUUCUGCAUAACAAACACCCCAAACAUUUUAUUCUUUCGAAUAUGGAGUUGUUGCAGGUCAGCUGGCCCGGUGUGGUCGUGGCUGGGUGGUUCUGCUGAUCUUGGCUGGCCCCAUCCACCUACCGGCUGUUCUGCUGGAGGUCUGCUGACCUAGGCUGGCCUAGGGACAGGACCCUGCCCUGCCUCACACACCUCUCACCUUCUUCUGGGACCCAAAGACUUUACCAGGUGUGUCUGCUUACAGUGGUGAAGUGAAAGUGAAAGUUGUGUCUGACUCUUUGCGACC